AUCAAUAAGCGGAGGAAAAGAAACCAACAGGGAUUGCCCUAGUAACGGCGAGCGAAGCGGCAACAGCUCAAAUUUGAAAUCUGGCUACUUUGUAGUCCGAGUUGUAAUUUGUAGAGGAUGCUUUUGGUGAGGUGCCUUCCGAGUUCCCUGGAACGGGACGCCAGAGAGGGUGAGAGCCCCGUACGGUUGGAUACCAAACCUUUGUAUAGCUCCUUCAACGAGUCGAGUAGUUUGGGAAUGCUGCUCUAAAUGGGAGGUAUAUCUCUUCUAAAGCUAAAUAUAGGCUAGAGACCGAUAGCGCACAAGUAGAGUGAUCGAAAGAUGAAAAGCACUUUGAAAAGAGAGUUAAACAGCACGUGAAAUUGUUGAAAGGGAAGCGCCUAUGACCAGACUUGUUUCUUUCAGUUUUGUUAGUUCUCGGACUGAUUUACUCUGUUAGUACAGGCCAGCAUCAGUUUGUUGUCGGGGAGAAAGGCUUAGGGAAUGUGGCUCCUUCGGGAGUGUUAUAGCCCUUUGCAUAAUACCCUUCGGCAGACUGAGGACCGCGCUUCGGCAAGGAUGCUGGCGUAAUGGUCAUCAGCGACCCGUCUUGAAACACGGACCAAGGAGUCAACCUUAUGUGCGAGUGUUUGGGUGUAAAACCCCAGCGCGUAAUGAACGUGAACGUAGGUGAGAGCUUCGGCGCAUCAUCGACCGAUUCUGAUGUUCUCGGAUGGAUUUGAGUAAGAGCACACAGGGUUGGACCCGAAAGAAGGUGAACUAUGCUUGUAUAGGGUGAAGCCAGAGGAAACUCUGGUGGAGGCUCGCAGCGGUUCUGACGUGCAAAUCGAUCGUCAAAUAUGAGCAUGGGGGCGAAAGACUAAUCGAACCUUCUAGUAGCUGGUU
RNAcentral lists this ribosomal RNA (885 nucleotides) under Chalaropsis thielavioides. Its description in RNAcentral is "partial large subunit ribosomal RNA". It matches the Rfam family "Eukaryotic large subunit ribosomal RNA", at positions 42 to 956 of the family's 3401-position model. The record is from RNAcentral. Lineage: Eukaryota; Fungi; Ascomycota; Sordariomycetes; Microascales; Ceratocystidaceae.